ACUGGUCGAGUCGGCCUGCGCGGAAGAUGUAACGGGGCUAAACCAUGCACCGAAGCUGCGGCAGCGACACUAUGUGUUGUUGGGUAGGGGAGCGUUCUGUAAGCCUGCGAAGGUGUGCUGUGAGGCAUGCUGGAGGUAUCAGAAGUGCGAAUGCUGACAUAAGUAACGAUAAAGCGGGUGAAAAGCCCGCUCGCCGGAAGACCAAGGGUUCCUGUCCAACGUUAAUCGGGGCAGGGUGAGUCGACCCCUAAGGCGAGGCCGAAAGGCGUAGUCGAUGGGAAACAGGUUAAUAUUCCUGUACUUGGUGUUACUGCGAAGGGGGGACGGAGAAGGCUAUGUUAGCCGGGCGACGGUUGUCCCGGUUUAAGCAUGUAGGCUGNGUAGGUGGGGUAACGGCUCACCUAGGCGACGAUCCCUAGCUGGUCUGAGAGGAUGACCAGCCACACUGGAACUGAGACACGGUCCAGACUCCUACGGGAGGCAGCAGUGGGGAAUAUUGCACAAUGGGCGCAAGCCUGAUGCAGCCAUGCCGCGUGUGUGAAGAAGGCCUUCGGGUUGUAAAGCACUUUCAGCGGGGAGGAAGGCGUUAAGGUUAAUAACCUUGGCGAUUGACGUUACCCGCAGAAGAAGCACCGGCUAACUCCGUGCCAGCAGCCGCGGUAAUACGGAGGGUGCAAGCGUUAAUCGGAAUUACUGGGCGUAAAGCGCACGCAGGCGGUCUGUCAAGUCGGAUGUGAAAUCCCCGGGCUCAACCUGGGAACUGCAUUCGAAACUGGCAGGCUAGAGUCUUGUAGAGGGGGGUAGAAUUCCAGGUGUAGCGGUGAAAUGCGUAGAGAUCUGGAGGAAUACCGGUGGCGAAGGCGGCCCCCUGGACAAAGACUGACGCUCAGGUGCGAAAGCGUGGGGAGCAAACAGGAUUAGAUACCCUGGUAGUCCACGCCGUAAACGAUGUCGAUUUGGAGGUUGUGCCCUUGAGGCGUGGCUUCCGGAGCUAACGCGUUAAAUCGACCGCCUGGGGAGUACGGCCGCAAGGUUAAAACUCAAAUGAAUUGACGGGGGCCCGCACAAGCGGUGGAGCAUGUGGUUUAAUUCGAUGCAACGCGAAGAACCUUACCUGGUCUUGACAUCCACAGAACUUAGCAGAGAUGCUUUGGUGCCUUCGGGAACUGUGAGACAGGUGCUGCAUGGCUGUCGUCAGCUCGUGUUGUGAAAUGUUGGGUUAAGUCCCGCAACGAGCGCAACCCUUAUCCUUUGUUGCCAGCGGUCCGGCCGGGAACUCAAAGGAGACUGCCAGUGAUAAACUGGAGGAAGGUGGGGAUGACGUCAAGUCAUCAUGGCCCUUACGACCAGGGCUACACACGUGCUACAAUGGCAUAUACAAAGAGAAGCGACCUCGCGAGAGCAAGCGGACCUCAUAAAGUAUGUCGUAGUCCGGAUUGGAGUCUGCAACUCGACUCCAUGAAGUCGGAAUCGCUAGUAAUCGUAGAUCAGAAUGCUACGGUGAAUACGUUCCCGGGCCUUGUACACACCGCCCGUCACACCAUGGGAGUGGGUUGCAAAAGAAGUAGGUAGCUUAACCUUCGGGAGGGCGCUUACCACUUUGUGAUUCAUGACUGGGGUGAAGUCGUAACAAGGUAACCGUAGGGGAACCUGCGGUUGGAUCACCU
This 1667-nucleotide ribosomal RNA is filed under the name Klebsiella pneumoniae. RNAcentral's name for it is "bacterial SSU rRNA". It matches the Rfam family "Bacterial small subunit ribosomal RNA". The record is from RNAcentral. Lineage: Bacteria; Pseudomonadati; Pseudomonadota; Gammaproteobacteria; Enterobacterales; Enterobacteriaceae.